Molecule: transfer RNA, 73 nt
Filed under: Slackia heliotrinireducens DSM 20476
Lineage: Bacteria; Bacillati; Actinomycetota; Coriobacteriia; Eggerthellales; Eggerthellaceae
Rfam family: tRNA
About the family: Transfer RNA (tRNA) molecules are approximately 80 nucleotides in length. Their secondary structure includes four short double-helical elements and three loops (D, anti-codon, and T loops).
Source: Rfam by way of RNAcentral
GCCCCUGUAGCUCAAUGGAUAGAGCACCAGACUUCUAAUCUGAUGGUUGUGGGUUCGAUUCCCCCCAGGGGCA